CCUACGGGAGGCAGCAGUGAGGAAUAUUGGUCAAUGGACGAGAGUCUGAACCAGCCAAGUAGCGUGAAGGAUGACUGCCCUAUGGGUUGUAAACUUCUUUUAUAUGGGAAUAAAAUGUUCCACGUGUGGGAUUUUGUAUGUACCAUAUGAAUAAGGAUCGGCUAACUCCGUGCCAGCAGCCGCGGUAAUACGGAGGAUCCGAGCGUUAUCCGGAUUUAUUGGGUUUAAAGGGAGCGUAGGUGGAUUGUUAAGUCAGUUGUGAAAGUUUGCGGCUCAACCGUAAAAUUGCAGUUGAAACUGGCAGUCUUGAGUACAGUAGAGGUGGGCGGAAUUCGUGGUGUAGCGGUGAAAUGCGUAGAGAUCACGAAGAACUCCGAUUGCGAAGGCAGUUCACUGGACUGCAACUGACACUGAGGCUCGAAAGUGUGGGUAUCAAACAGGAUUAGAUACCCGUGUAGUC
This 460-nucleotide ribosomal RNA is filed under the name uncultured bacterium. RNAcentral's name for it is "partial 16S ribosomal RNA". It matches the Rfam family "Bacterial small subunit ribosomal RNA", at positions 338 to 795 of the family's 1533-position model. The record is from RNAcentral.